GGAGACGGCACCUCCAACACAUGAACCCUCGAGGGACACACUUGAAUCAUAUGUGAACCAUAGCAGAGUUUAAGUGAUUUGCCCAAAGUCACAUGACUCGAAACAGAACAUAUUAUGAAGAUGCCACAGAAAGUGCAGCUCACGGGCGGGGGACCAGAUAUUUCUUCGUUAGGCGUUACAUCAAGAAGUCCAGAAAGUGAAGGAAAAGUGCAUUUACCUUCAAAGGCUUGCCCUAGAGCUUCUGCCAGACUCUGGGCCAGUGCGCAGAAGACGGGAAGUUGGCGUCUUUGCAGGAAACCGGCCACCAGAGGGCGGCCCGUGCCUCCCGGAGGCCUGUCGGGUCUGGACUCCCAGCCGGGUGUUUCCAGAGCAGGCUCUUUGCAACACCGCCAGGAGGUGUGGCUCCAGGGACAAGGAUUGUAUUUUUAUCUGCUGCUCAUUUUUAGCAAUCUGGCCGACGUUUCUCUGGCACACAAAGGAAGUGGCUGCCUCCUGCGAGGCAUGAGUCACUCUGCUUGAGAGAGGUGGCCUGUCGCGGUGGACCCACGCCCCAAAGAGCUGUCAACAGCCCUGUGCCCCCAGAGGGGUUUAUUUCUGUCCCUCUGCCAGGUGUGGCUGUGAGUUUGCCUCUGGCAGGGCCCAUGCCGUUCCUGCCCUUCAGCAUGACAGCAGAGCUGGGAGGUCCUGACUCCACAGCCCCCCCACGCCCCAGCCAGGCAGCGCUUCGGGGAGGCCUGAGUCAGCAGCGCACCUGAACGUCCUCACGGAGCCGGCAGGGGAAGAAGGGAGGUGCCCCCUGCACACAUCCCAGCCGACCACAAGGGACUCCGCUAUCAUGCCUUGGCAGCUCCAGCUCAUCCAGCAAUGUCACCUCCUCUCCGAAGGCCCCUGGAUUCCUCAGGGCCAGAUGCAGGCUGAGGGUCUGCCCACAUGGGAGGCAGCUGCCGUGUCCUGGGACUCCUGAGGCUCCUGACAGGGAUGGACAGGCUGCUUUCCUCCCACAUGAGGUUUGGAAAUGAACCCUCAAGAUUCCUAGGCACCCUCCUUCCCACUGCAGAGAAACCACAGAGCUGGCCUCGUUAUCCACCCAGAAAGAGACAGAGACCCUGAGUCCCAGACUCAGACGCCUGCAGGGUGGUAACGUCAGACAGGAGCAGAAGUUUGCAGGCUACGAGGAGGGGCUGGGCCUCGUGAGUGCACAAGGGGCAACUUAGUCCUGAAUGACCAUUAUCUAGCCCAUGAGCUGCCCACAGGCGCAUGCUCUGCUGACACUGGACAGCAGCACACCUCGGCUUGCACAGGACGGCUACCACGGCAGGUGUAGGGAGUUUCCACCUCCACUAAAACCUUGGAUCAGCUGCUGCUAAAAGCCUGUUGCUGACCACAGUGUGGUUAUAUGACAGGAUCACCCGAGGAGCCAGGGCAGAGAUGAGGAAGCCCAGAGAAGUCGAGGGACUGCCUAGGCCCCAGAGCAGCCAGUGCCAGGGCCAAAUUCCCUGUCACCUGCCCCGUGCCCUUGCCCUAAUUCCUGCUGCGGUGAGUUACAGGGGCGUCCAUGAAGCGCCUGCGUCAGAGGUCCCGAGGCCGUCCUGCUCCUGGGAGUCCAGCCACAGCGGGGUUCAGCACCCACCAGGUGCAGACCAGACCGCUGUCCCCUGGGAGCUGCGAGCACUGGGAGCCGGAAACAGCUGCCCAACUCAUGCACUGGCUUGAACCGGGAGUCUCUGGUAAAGGGAUUUGGGAAGUUUUGCGCCUGUUUCAAUACCCCAGUAGAUCUCCCCACUUAAAAGAAACACAUGGUGGAAUUCCUUUGUAGGGCAAGUGCGUGUCCUGAUUUAUUGUUUGUCAGUUUGGUUUUGGGUGCCUUGAUUUGUGGAAUUUAUUGCACAAUGAACUCAGAAGAAUCACCUCUGUCUACUCUGUUUGUUUGUCUUGGGGUUUUUUUGGGACAUUUUGUGCAGAAGUUUCUAAUUUUUAUGUGGGGAAUUUGUCAACCUUAUCCCGGAUGAUUUCUUCCAGAGCCUGAAAAUUUAGAAAAGAAAAAUAAAAUAAUUUCCUCAAAGAA
Molecule: non-coding RNA, 2065 nt
Organism: Ictidomys tridecemlineatus (thirteen-lined ground squirrel)
Lineage: Eukaryota; Metazoa; Chordata; Mammalia; Rodentia; Sciuridae
Source: RefSeq, a predicted model, not a curated record